Long non-coding RNA from Gorilla gorilla gorilla (western lowland gorilla), 847 nucleotides. RefSeq lists it as uncharacterized. The transcript is spliced from 2 exons. The record is from RefSeq and is a predicted model, not a curated record. NCBI's taxonomy places the organism in Eukaryota, Metazoa, Chordata, Mammalia, Primates, Hominidae.
GGUUAAUCUGUUUUCUCUAAUCAAACACUUAAUCAUCCAGUCUCCUCUCUGCGUUAUGGAUUCAUGAAUGUGAAGUGAGGAGAGUUGCUCAGUCAAGGUUUUUCACGUACUGCACAUCCAAGCUAGGUAAUGUCUCUGCAACUGCUGCUUCCUGAUGAUUAUAUUCAUCUGAAAUGACUAAGCUUGGUAAAUUAGGCUAAGUCAAGUCUGUGGAGCAGUCAAGAGACGAAUGAAGAAAAGAAUAAUGUAAUGGAGGCUACACCAGAGACAUGGGAAUCUAUCAGCAUGUGGCAAGGAAGGGAGAACAUGGCUCUGUCUUCUAUAUAAAGAGUUGCCUGCAUUCUUCUCAGAAAAAAAAAAAAAGACAAUGGAAAAGCAAUGAGUCAUGAGUCUUGGGUUCUAAGCCUGGUUCUACCAUUUGCUAGCUGUAUGAUAAGAAGCAUGUUUGUUAAACCUCUGAGCCUCAGCUUAUACAUAUACGAAACAGGAAAAAUAGUAACAUAGCCUGCCAUCUUCACAGAUUUGUGAAAAGGUCUUUUAAAUAUCCAAAAAGCUUAGUAUGUAUAAGAAAGAUUAAAUUUAAGCUAUGGGUAUAACACAAAAAUAUACUUGAAAAUUAUUCUUAAAUUUCACCAUAUUUAGGAAGUGGCUAAAUAUAAACAUAAUAUUCCUACUUCUGCAUUUCCUAUUUCUCUCUUUGCAUUGUAAAUUCAGAGGAAGUUAUCUCAUUUAUUAAUUGUAACAUUUAAACAGUAUACAUUUCUGUCAUUUAAAAGUGGUACCAACAAUGUAGUUAAACCUUUAUUAUCUUUUGUUGGUCUAAUAAAUAAAAGUGCGUGACUAAAAA